UAGGGAAUCUUCGGCAAUGGACGAAAGUCUGACCGAGCAACGCCGCGUGAGUGAAGAAGGUUUUCGGAUCGUAAAACUCUGUUGUUAGAGAAGAACAAGGACGUUAGUAACUGAACGUCCCCUGACGGUAUCUAACCAGAAAGCCACGGCUAACUACGUGCCAGCAGCCGCGGUAAUACGUAGGUGGCAAGCGUUGUCCGGAUUUAUUGGGCGUAAAGCGAGCGCAGGCGGUUUCUUAAGUCUGGUGUGAAAGCCCCCGGCUCAACCGGGGAGGGGCAUUGGAAACUGGGGGACUUGAGGGCAGAAGAGGAGAGUGGAAUUCCAUGUGUAGCGGUGAAAUGCGUAGAUAUAUGGAGGAACACCAGUGGCGAAGGCGGCUCUCUGGUCUGUAACUGACGCUGAGGCUCGAAAGCGUGGGGAGCAAACAGG
RNAcentral lists this ribosomal RNA (429 nucleotides) under Gemmatimonadota bacterium. Its description in RNAcentral is "Gemmatimonadetes bacterium partial 16S ribosomal RNA". It matches the Rfam family "Bacterial small subunit ribosomal RNA", at positions 355 to 776 of the family's 1533-position model. The record is from RNAcentral. Lineage: Bacteria; Pseudomonadati; Gemmatimonadota.